Molecule: ribosomal RNA, 406 nt
Filed under: uncultured bacterium
Lineage: Bacteria
Description: bacterial SSU rRNA
Rfam family: Bacterial small subunit ribosomal RNA
Source: RNAcentral
UGGGGAAUUUUCCGCAAUGGGCGAAAGCCUGACGGAGCAACGCCGCGUGAGGGAUGAAGGCCUCUGGGCUGUAAACCUCUUUUCUCAAGGAAGAAGAUCUGACGGUACUUGAGGAAUAAGCCACGGCUAAUUCCGUGCCAGCAGCCGCGGUAAUACGGGAGUGGCAAGCGUUAUCCGGAAUUAUUGGGCGUAAAGCGUCCGCAGGCGGCCUGAAAAGUCUGCUGUUAAAGCGUGGAGCUUAACUCCAUUUCAGCAGUGGAAACUGUCAGGCUUGAGUGUGGUAGGGGCAGAGGGAAUUCCCGGUGUAGCGGUGAAAUGCGUAGAUAUCGGGAAGAACACCAGUGGCGAAAGCGCUCUGCUGGGCCAUAACUGACGCUCAUGGACGAAAGCCAGGGGAGCGAAAGGG